This 254-nucleotide ribosomal RNA is filed under the name uncultured bacterium. RNAcentral's name for it is "partial 16S ribosomal RNA". It matches the Rfam family "Bacterial small subunit ribosomal RNA", at positions 524 to 776 of the family's 1533-position model. The record is from RNAcentral.
UACGUAGGGGGCAAGCGUUGUCCGGAAUCAUUGGGCGUAAAGAGCGUGUAGGCGGCUCGGUAAGUCCGCUGUGAAAGUCCAGGGCUCAACCCUGGAAUGCCGGUGGAAACUGUCGAGCUAGAGUCCGGAAGAGGCGAGUGGAAUUCCUGGUGUAGCGGUGAAAAUGCGCAGAUAUCAGGAGGAACACCGAUGGCGAAGGCAGGUCUCUGGGCAUUAACUGACGCUGAGGAGCGAAAGCAUGGGGAGCGAACAGG